GACGAACGCUGGCGGCGUGCCUAAUACAUGCAAGUCGAACGAGAGCGACCGGUGCUUGCACUGGUCAAUCUAGUGGCGAACGGGUGAGUAACACGUGGGUAACCUGCCCAUCAGAGGGGGAUAACAUUCGGAAACGGAUGCUAAAACCGCAUAGGUCUUCGAACCGCAUGGUUUGAAGAGGAAAAGAGGCGCAAGCUUCUGCUGAUGGAUGGACCCGCGGUGCAUUAGCUAGUUGGUGAGGUAACGGCUCACCAAGGCCGUGAUGCAUAGCCGACCUGAGAGGGUGAUCGGCCACAUUGGGACUGAGACACGGCCCAAACUCCUACGGGAGGCAGCAGUAGGGAAUCUUCCGCAAUGGACGAAAGUCUGACGGAGCAACGCCGCGUGAGUGAAGAAGGUUUUCGGAUCGUAAAACUCUGUUGUUAGAGAAGAAUAAGUGCUAGAGUAACUGUUAGCGACUUGACGGUAUCUAACCAGAAAGCCACGGCUAACUACGUG
RNAcentral lists this ribosomal RNA (498 nucleotides) under uncultured bacterium. Its description in RNAcentral is "partial 16S ribosomal RNA". It matches the Rfam family "Bacterial small subunit ribosomal RNA", at positions 28 to 507 of the family's 1533-position model. The record is from RNAcentral.